CUAUUUCUAGGUUCUAUGGUAAAUUCAAGAAAGAAGUUUUUAAAAAUUUAGUUCCUAUUGAUAGGCAAGGCACCACGCCAAGUCAUUAACAUUUGUUACUUUAGUUAAGUCCCAAACACCCUUGGGCCCAAGCAGUGCCAUGUCAACUUUACAGAUAGGAGACUUGGAAGACAUGAAGCCAGUUGCCAAAAGUCAAACAGUUACCAAGUGAGGCCAGAUCUUGCACAAAAAUUCUUUUUUACACUGUGUUGCCUUACAUGGCCAAUGAGAUCAUUGUACUUGUGUGUUUACACAUCUCUGGAUUCACUGAAACAGUGAAUGAGCAGAGAUGGCAUGCUUUUGCCUCCUGCUCAUAUACAUCAUUUCCUUGCCAAACCACACAAACUUCCAAAGGCUAAAGGUAAAGGAAGAAAAAAAAAAUCAGUUACCGGUGCUUGACUAUUUUGAUCUCAUUACUUACAGUAUUUAAUUAUCUGAAACUUUUAACAGUGUUAAAAUGUUAAUAAUAGCUGUUGAAAUACAAUCUUAAAAUGUUAAUAUUAAUCAUUAAUAUUAAAAUACCUUAAUAAUUUAAUGUUAAUAUUAUUUUAAUGGAGCCACCCUUCCUUUGAAGAUGUUGAGGUAUUUUUUAAAAAUUCAAAUUGAAUUGGAGGAAUGAACAUAAGGACACUUCAAAUGAAUCAGUGAAGGAUAAAAACAGGGAAAACUGCUUUAUUCAAACCCAGGCAUUCCAUUUUGCACCCUGCCUUAUAAAUUAUCAACUGGAUAAUAUGAUUCUGUAUAGUCAUCCUCAAUCAUUAAUUUUUCUCUUAAAACUGCUUCACCUAGCUGCUUGCCUUGAGCUUGGAGAGAGCAAACAGGGAUAUUUGGGUUUAGCCUAGAGCAACAUAAAAAGAAAUGGAAUAAAACCAUCCCCAGAUCUCUUUGUAGUUAGUGGCCUUCAGCAGAGUUGGGUUAUAAUGGUUCUUAAGCUAAGAACAGUAUUGCUAGUGUCCAUGAAAAUGGAAAGCGACUAUAAAAAUGAUUGACACGUUCUAUAAAGUAGACUUUCAUUGUCAAUCAUAUAAAUAUGACUCAUUAAUCAUGCUAUAAGCAUUUGACAGCUGACUGGCAGUAACAAAUUCUCCCCAGAGAAAGCUAUAUAGAAACUUAAGAGCAGCUUAUUAAUGUUGAUACUACUUAAACUGGAUGUUAUGCAUCCUACAGGAAGCAGAUAGUUUCUUGCAGUCCAACAUAAUUGAUUCCAGCAGAACUUUUAUUAACAGAGUGUGCAUUAUACAGCUUCUGAUGCAUUUCCAAUCACAGAGGACUGAUUGGUUUUAUGAGAAUCUUUUUUA
This 1337-nucleotide long non-coding RNA is filed under the name Canis lupus familiaris (dog). RNAcentral's name for it is "lncRNA (ENSCAFG00805028464.1, ENSCAFG00845030553.1)". Lineage: Eukaryota; Metazoa; Chordata; Mammalia; Carnivora; Canidae. The record is from RNAcentral.